RNAcentral lists this ribosomal RNA (1372 nucleotides) under uncultured bacterium. RNAcentral describes it as "bacterial SSU rRNA". It matches the Rfam family "Bacterial small subunit ribosomal RNA", at positions 28 to 1381 of the family's 1533-position model. The record is from RNAcentral.
GAUGAACGCUGGCGGCGUGCCUAAUACAUGCAAGUCGAGCGAACGGACGAGAAGCUUGCUUCUCUGAUGUUAGCGGCGGACGGGUGAGUAACACGUGGAUAACCUACCUAUAAGGCUGGGAUAACUUCGGGAAACCGGAGCUAAUACCGGAUAAUAUUUUGAACCGCAUGGUUCAAAAGUGAAAGACGGUCUUGCUGUCACUUAUAGAUGGAUCCGCGCUGCAUUAGCUAGUUGGUAAGGUAACGGCUUACCAAGGCAACGAUGCAUAGCCGACCUGAGAGAGUGAUCGGCCACACUGGAACUGAGACACGGUCCAGACUCCUACGGGAGGCAGCAGUAGGGAAUCUUCCGCAAUGGGCGAAAGCCUGACGGAGCAACGCCGCGUGAGUGAUGAAGGUCUUCGGAUCGUAAAACUCUGUUAUUAGGGAAGAACAUAUGUGUAAGUAACUGUGCACAUCUUGACGGUACCUAAUCAGAAAGCCACGGCUAACUACGUGCCAGCAGCCGCGGUAAUACGUAGGUGGCAAGCGUUAUCCGGAAUUAUUGGGCGUAAAGCGCGCGUAGGCGGUUUUCUAAGUCUGAUGUGAAAGCCCACGGCUCAACCGUGGAGGGUCAUUGGAAACUGGAAAACUUGAGUGCAGAAGAGGAAAGUGGAAUUCCAUGUGUAGCGGUGAAAUGCGCGGAGAUAUGGAGGAACACCAGUGGCGAAGGCGACUUUCUGGUCUGUAACUGACGCUGAUGUGCGAAAGCGUGGGGAUCAAACAGGAUUAGAUACCCUGGUAGUCCACGCCGUAAACGAUGAGUGCUAAGUGUUAGGGGGUUUCCGCCCCUUAGUGCUGCAGCUAACGCAUUAAGCACUCCGCCUGGGGAGUACGACCGCAAGGUUGAAACUCAAAGGAAUUGACGGGGACCCGCACAAGCGGUGGAGCAUGUGGUUUAAUUCGAAGCAACGCGAAGAACCUUACCAAAUCUUGACAUCCUUUGACAACUCUAGAGAUAGAGCCUUCCCCUUCGGGGGACAAAGUGACAGGUGGUGCAUGGUUGUCGUCAGCUCGUGUCGUGAGAUGUUGGGUUAAGUCCCGCAACGAGCGCAACCCUUAAGCUUAGUUGCCAUCAUUAAGUUGGGCACUCUAAGUUGACUGCCGGUGACAAACCGGAGGAAGGUGGGGAUGACGUCAAAUCAUCAUGCCCCUUAUGAUUUGGGCUACACACGUGCUACAAUGGACAAUACAAAGGGCAGCGAAACCGCGAGGUCAAGCAAAUCCCAUAAAGUUGUUCUCAGUUCGGAUUGUAGUCUGCAACUCGACUACAUGAAGCUGGAAUCGCUAGUAAUCGUAGAUCAGCAUGCUACGGUGAAUACGUUCCCGGGUCU